CCAAGGCAGUACCCUUAGGACAGGAGGUAACUGAAUAAAACUGAAUUAUUAAAACGCUCAGCCUGACUUAUGCAGGAUCCAACCAUUAAAUCCUGUCACAUACAUGAUUUCAUUACCUGUUUUCAUUACUACUCUUCUAAAAAGAAAAUUACGAAAAGUAUGAGAAAUCAUACCAUUUCCUUUCCUACCUUCUCUAUGCUAGAACUUAAAAGCAUUUCAAUCAUACUUUAAAAGAAUAAGCCCAAAGUGUUGCUAACAUUUAUGUUCAGCUAACUGUUGCCACCUUAAUUUUCCAAAGAUGUACAACAUGCAGGCAAUAAUGCUGUAUAAAACAAACACUAGGACAAGGAAAGCAAACGAAAUUACAAUCACGUUUACAUAUUAUCACUGCUCAUUAACAUUUCAAUUUUGCCCUGCGACGGGUGCUUAUGAUAAUGAAGU
RNAcentral lists this long non-coding RNA (441 nucleotides) under Bos taurus (domestic cattle). Its description in RNAcentral is "long non-coding RNA NONBTAT009037". Lineage: Eukaryota; Metazoa; Chordata; Mammalia; Artiodactyla; Bovidae. The record is from RNAcentral.